UGUUGCUGCAGCAGGCUCGCCCGAUUUGUUCUAGUAUAGUGUGUCAUCUCACCAUCCCUUCUUUUUGACAUCAAAAGCUUUCUUAUUCUUGUGUGUCUGCAUCUGGGUCAUAACAUUAUUGAACAGUGACAUUACCACAGUCUAAUUGACACCACAAACUUGGGGCCAGAAGACAGAGGCAGUACCAAGGACUGACUGCUGCUCCAGCUAAGGGGUUUCAGUGUUUUUGGGACACUGUGCAUGAGGGUAAAGUGGAGCACAAGAUCUGUAGACGGAUUAAUGCAGCAGCUGCAGUCACACAGGAACCCAGUGUUUGGAUGGGGAAAAGACUGAAACAGAUAGGGAAGCAGCACUGUCUCACCGGAGGCCGGCCGCUGCUGGUGGUACAAAGGGAGGUCCAAAGGUGAAGAGUCUGGCUGUGAACAGCAGGAGACGAGCUUUUCUCACUGUGGACUAAUUGGCUGGCCAGCAACUCAGAGCCGAGGACAAGCCUUCCUGUAAGCAUCUUUCACAUUCACCAUGUGUCAGCAGCCGGUGAACUCACAUUUUUAAAAGCAUCCUGUGCUUCUGCUAAAUAAUGCAGGUUAUGUGAUGCUGAUGCAUUUUCUUGAGAAAAUAAAGGUUUAUGACUCUAAACUGGAUUUUUCAGCAGAUCACUCACUACUAGAAAAUUAACAACCUGAUUCCUUUGAUUCCAGCUGCUAUGGCCAAACAUUAAGUUUUCGUUACAUGAAUGGCUUCAAGGUAUUGAAAGGUUUAAUAAUAAACAUCAAAA
Molecule: long non-coding RNA, 775 nt
Organism: Xiphias gladius (swordfish)
Lineage: Eukaryota; Metazoa; Chordata; Actinopteri; Istiophoriformes; Xiphiidae
Exons: 3
Source: RefSeq, a predicted model, not a curated record